CCAGGCCGGGUUUUCAAGCAUCAAGACGGAAGUAACAGCGGAAAGGAAGUUCCAGGGCCCGCGCUGGGAAAGAGGCGGGGGGACCAGGGGAAGACUCAGAGUGCGAUGGCGGCGCAAAUUCCAAUUGUGGCCACCACUUCCACUCCUGGAAUAGUCCGGAACAGCAAGAAGAGGCCGGCCAGCCCUUCCCACAAUGGCAGCAGCGGCGGGGGCUAUGGCGCCAGUAAGAAGAAAAAGGUGUCCGCUUCCAGCUUUGCGCAGGGUAUCAGCAUGGAAGCCAUGAGUGAGAAUAAAAUGGUGCCCUCUGAGUUUAGCACAGGACCUGUGGAAAAAGCUGCCAAACCUUUGCCAUUUAAGGAUCCCAACUUUGUGCACUCUGGCCACGGUGGCGCAGUAGCUGGCAAGAAGAACAGAACCUGGAAGAACCUGAAACAAAUCCUCGCUUCUGAAAGGGCAUUGCCGUGGCAACUGAACGAUCCUAACUGUGAGCUGUCUAGAGCCUUCCAUAUGUUUGUAAUGUUCAGAGUAGGAACUGUCUUAUAACAACCUACAUUAUUUUAUUGUGUUUGCAUCAUUGUAGGAAAUAAUUUUUAGCUUGAGAAUUUUAUAGUGGCAUCAGUCUGGGCAGAUUAUGUGUGUAUUUUCUCAUAACUGUAUCUGUAUUGAGCCUAUUUGUUUGUGUUGUCAUGGAUGUGUGGUUUUUAGGGUCAUAGGUCCCGAUAUGAUAAUAUUGGUGUUUCUACUAGACAAACUUCUUAUUCAAAAGUCUACUCUUAAAAUGUGUUUCCA
Molecule: small RNA, 789 nt
Filed under: Pongo abelii (Sumatran orangutan)
Lineage: Eukaryota; Metazoa; Chordata; Mammalia; Primates; Hominidae
Description: retained intron
Source: RNAcentral